RNAcentral lists this ribosomal RNA (2111 nucleotides) under Salmonella enterica subsp. enterica serovar Sandiego. RNAcentral's name for it is "partial 23S ribosomal RNA". It matches the Rfam family "Bacterial large subunit ribosomal RNA", at positions 711 to 2802 of the family's 2925-position model. Lineage: Bacteria; Pseudomonadati; Pseudomonadota; Gammaproteobacteria; Enterobacterales; Enterobacteriaceae. The record is from RNAcentral.
AGACCCGAAACCCGGUGAUCUAGCCAUGGGCAGGUUGAAGGUUGGGUAACACUAACUGGAGGACCGAACCGACUAAUGUUGAAAAAUUAGCGGAUGACCUGUGGCUGGGGGUGAAAGGCCAAUCAAACCGGGAGAUAGCUGGUUCUCCCCGAAAGCUAUUUAGGUAGCGCCUCGUGAAUUCAUCUCCGGGGGUAGAGCACUGUUUCGGCUAGGGGGCCAUCCCGGCUUACCAACCCGAUGCAAACUGCGAAUACCGGAGAAUGUUAUCACGGGAGACACACGGCGGGUGCUAACGUCCGUCGUGAAGAGGGAAACAACCCAGACCGCCAGCUAAGGUCCCAAAGUCAUGGUUAAGUGGGAAACGAUGUGGGAAGGCCCAGACAGCCAGGAUGUUGGCUUAGAAGCAGCCAUCAUUUAAAGAAAGCGUAAUAGCUCACUGGUCGAGUCGGCCUGCGCGGAAGAUGUAACGGGGCUAAACCAUGCACCGAAGCUGCGGCAGCGACGCUGAUGCGUUGUUGGGUAGGGGAGCGUUCUGUAAGCCUGCGAAGGUGGCCUGUGAGGGUUGCUGGAGGUAUCAGAAGUGCGAAUGCUGACAUAAGUAACGAUAAAGCGGGUGAAAAGCCCGCUCGCCGGAAGACCAAGGGUUCCUGUCCAACGUUAAUCGGGGCAGGGUGAGUCGACCCCUAAGGCGAGGCCGAAAGGCGUAGUCGAUGGGAAACGGGUUAAUAUUCCCGUACUUGGUGUUACUGCGAAGGGGGGACGGAGAAGGCUAUGUUGGCCGGGCGACGGUUGUCCCGGUUUAAGCGUGUAGGUGUGUGUUCCAGGUAAAUCCGGUUCACUUUAACACUGAGGCGUGAUGACGAGGCACUACGGUGCUGAAGCAACAAAUGCCCUGCUUCCAGGAAAAGCCUCUAAGCAUCAGGUAACAUCAAAUCGUACCCCAAACCGACACAGGUGGUCAGGUAGAGAAUACCAAGGCGCUUGAGAGAACUCGGGUGAAGGAACUAGGCAAAAUGGUGCCGUAACUUCGGGAGAAGGCACGCUGACACGUAGGUGAAGUGAUUUACUCAUGGAGCUGAAGUCAGUCGAAGAUACCAGCUGGCUGCAACUGUUUAUUAAAAACACAGCACUGUGCAAACACGAAAGUGGACGUAUACGGUGUGACGCCUGCCCGGUGCCGGAAGGUUAAUUGAUGGGGUCAGCGCAAGCGAAGCUCCUGAUCGAAGCCCCGGUAAACGGCGGCCGUAACUAUAACGGUCCUAAGGUAGCGAAAUUCCUUGUCGGGUAAGUUCCGACCUGCACGAAUGGCGUAAUGAUGGCCAGGCUGUCUCCACCCGAGACUCAGUGAAAUUGAACUCGCUGUGAAGAUGCAGUGUACCCGCGGCAAGACGGAAAGACCCCGUGAACCUUUACUAUAGCUUGACACUGAACAUUGAGCCUUGAUGUGUAGGAUAGGUGGGAGGCUUUGAAGUGUGGACGCCAGUCUGCAUGGAGCCGGCCUUGAAAUACCACCCUUUAAUGUUUGAUGUUCUAACGUGGACCCGUUACCCGGGUUGCGGACAGUGUCUGGUGGGUAGUUUGACUGGGGCGGUCUCCUCCUAAAGAGUAACGGAGGAGCACGAAGGUUGGCUAAUCCUGGUCGGACAUCAGGAGGUUAGUGCAAUGGCAUAAGCCAGCUUGACUGCGAGCGUGACGGCGCGAGCAGGUGCGAAAGCAGGUCAUAGUGAUCCGGUGGUUCUGAAUGGAAGGGCCAUCGCUCAACGGAUAAAAGGUACUCCGGGGAUAACAGGCUGAUACCGCCCAAGAGUUCAUAUCGACGGCGGUGUUUGGCACCUCGAUGUCGGCUCAUCACAUCCUGGGGCUGAAGUAGGUCCCAAGGGUAUGGCUGUUCGCCAUUUAAAGUGGUACGCGAGCUGGGUUUAGAACGUCGUGAGACAGUUCGGUCCCUAUCUGCCGUGGGCGCUGGAGAACUGAGGGGGGCUGCUCCUAGUACGAGAGGACCGGAGUGGACGCAUCACUGGUGUUCGGGUUGUCAUGCCAAUGGCACUGCCCGGUAGCUAAAUGCGGAAGAGAUAAGUGCUGAAAGCAUCUAAGCACGAAACUUGCCCCGA